This 84-nucleotide transfer RNA is filed under the name Leptolyngbya sp. 15MV. RNAcentral describes it as "tRNA-Tyr". It matches the Rfam family "tRNA". Rfam says of the family: Transfer RNA (tRNA) molecules are approximately 80 nucleotides in length. Their secondary structure includes four short double-helical elements and three loops (D, anti-codon, and T loops). The record is from RNAcentral. Lineage: Bacteria; Bacillati; Cyanobacteriota; Cyanophyceae; Leptolyngbyales; Leptolyngbyaceae.
GGGCGUGUGCCGGAGUGGCCAAUCGGGCCAGACUGUAAAUCUGGUGGCUUAACGCCUUCGGUGGUUCGAAUCCACCCGCGCCCA